This 2568-nucleotide long non-coding RNA is filed under the name Sus scrofa (pig). Its description in RNAcentral is "lncRNA (ENSSSCG00025000691.1)". The record is from RNAcentral. Lineage: Eukaryota; Metazoa; Chordata; Mammalia; Artiodactyla; Suidae.
GUUGAGAGAAUGCCCUAAAGGAAUCAGAUACCUAUGAACACAUCUGCUUCUUUCCCUUAGGCCUGAUAUCUGUUCUGUCAUUGGGGUGAUUUUGUAGAUUAGAAAGAUCUAGUUGAAAAAAUAUUUUUGUGAAAAACUCUGCAAGCAAAUAAUAAAGCAACUCAUUACUUUGAGAAUUUCUAAUGGUGGGUAGCAGACAUUUGAAAACAGUAAUGACAUCAAUAUCAAAUUUGAAACCCCAGCAGCAUCCAAUUGAUUUGUUGGUUUUAGACAAAAAGGAAUUUCAUGGAAGACCUUUGUGUCUGUAUUAACACAGAGCCAGUGAAGAAACCCCUUUUUCAAUAAAGCCAUAUUUUCUGAUUUAAGAAUAUUUAUUAGGUUGGCAGAGGAGAUUUAUAUAGUGGUGAUGUUAGUUACCUAGCACCCUUUUGGGGAUAGUCAUUGUCUUUUUCUUAGACAUAAUAGUGUUUAAAUUAUCUUAGAAAGGUAGGCAACAUGUGUAAUGUCUUUAAGGGGACAAAGGAGUGAAAAUGGAGAAGAACUAAAACUUAGAAAAUUACAUGAUUAAGAACUAAAAAUUUCCAACUGUAAGCUUUGAAUGUUUAUAGCUAUUUUAGGCACCCAUACAAUCUUCCACCAUGAUAAUCUAUCUGUACUACUAGGAAGAUCUGAGCACCAUUUUAAGGACCAUUUUGUGAUCAAUUAGCAUCGUUAAAACUGAUUUACAUAGAAAUUGUUAAAUAAAUUUAAAAUGCAACCCUCUCCUUACCAAAGUCUGUAGAAAUGAUAUCUGAUGCCAGCAUAACAAUCAGCCAGUUGUGUCUCCUAAAUUUAGCAAAAAUGUAUUCGCUGUUUUGAGCCAGAAAGUAGAGGCAAUUUUGGCCAAUGGCUUGAGUUCAUACAUCUAGUAAACAGACUGUCUUAGAUGAAAAUAAAUGUGUAUUUUUCUAUGUUUGCUAAUUUAGAGUUUUUUUGCACAGGGUUACUCAUAGCUACCAAUUUGUGUCACUUAUAGAAUGGCUUUGACUUUUAUCUACCUCUGAUAGGUAAACUAAUAUUUAUGGUUAUUUACGAAUAAUUCUUUUUCAAAAAUAUUACAAGCCUACUUUCCAUAAAUUAAACAAAUUAUACUAGUUUUUGAAGAAACAUACAAUCUAAGUAUUUUCUCUUAUCUCAUGACUUGUUAGUAGGCUAAAGUAUUAGUAUUAAUUAGCAGACAACUGCUGAUAAUGAAUGCUGUGAACAAAGGUAGUUUAUUAUUAGGGGGUGGUGGUUGAGAGGAUACUUAAAUUACUCUUUCAAUUAUAAAAAUGUAGCCACAUUUGACUCCUAGAUAAAAAAAUCACCUGAAGAGGCAGGCUAAUGGGAACAUGCAAUACAUUGAGAAGUUUCAAAUUCAGUUACUAAGAAUAGUUGGAUGUAUACAUAGUUUUUCAAAGUGAGGCAGAACACUGAUUGAUUUGUUUGAACUGAGAGUUGGACUUGCUUUAGUCAUUCCAACUCUAACCUUGGAGAAUGUUCUUAUAUGGUUUAUUGCCAUUUACAAAAAUUAUCUCACUGUCCAAAACCUUAAUCCCUGCAUGGACAAUAGUCCAUCUUCUGCAUAUCAGAAUUUUAAUGUGGAUUGUAGAACUCUAACUUUCUAAUAUUUCCCAGUUACAUUCAAAAAUGCCAUCCAAUUCAUACUGAUAGCUUUCUCUUCACAUCAAUGAUUGGUAAAUGGUUUGUAAAAGGGCAACAACUGGACAAUCCUAAACUUUUUUUUUAGCAGUUACUGAAGCCUGUGGACCUGAUCACUGAGUAGAGGGAGAAGUAGGUGGUGUGGGUGAGUAUGGAGAAGGUGAAGGUGAGAAACUGAGAGGAAUGCAUAACCAAGAAGUUAAGAUAUUGAAGGCAGUAAUAGUUUAAAUGCUUUGUCUGCAUAUAUUCAGUCAACACGUAUGUCUGUUUCGAUAUCAUUCAGAGAUUGAAAAAUUCUAUGUUGCUGCUAUCCAGAGAUUCUGGUAUGUAUAGCAUCAUAUACAGUUUGCUUGAAUUGUUGUUUUCAAAUCAUUAGCAUACAGGAAAGCACAAAGUAAAGCUACACUGACCACUGUUCACUAAUUAGUCAAUAAAAAAGACAGUGAGGCAUCUUAUGUCCCUCUUAGUUGUGGUUUCCAUACCUUUGAGUGAGAGAAAAAUGGUCCUGGUUAUAGCACAAAGGAGGAUUCAACCAGACAUCAGCAGGUUCUGACUGCUUAAAGUUUUACAUAAAGAAAGUCUAGAGCAGUGACUCCCAGGCUUCAUCAGGCAUAUCGAACUCUGGUAAAAAAAAUGUAAACUUACCAGCAUCCUAUAGCCAGUGAAAUUGAUUCAUUAAUUCUGGUGGGAAAAGACUCUUGCAUUUUCCAAACACCUCAGGUGAUCUAAAGCAGGUUUCCAUUGACUGUGUUCUGUAUUCUGAGGUACAGUACUGGACAGUUGGGCUUAAAUACAUAUUUGCAUGAGGUGUUUGGAAAGCGAGAAGAAAAAAGGAAGGAGGGAGGGAGGGAAGGAGGAGGGAGAGAGAGGAAGGGAAAAAGAGAGAAU